UUGUGUUUCCUCCCAACAGGCAGCCAGGGUUUUAAGGAAAAGUGCCAGGUUGUCCCAGACUUUACAGGAUUACACAGGAUCCCAGGAUUACAUCUGAGAUCGUCAGAUAAAUGUAAAUGAAUGAAACAUCUGAAUUUAGAAGAAAUUGAGUGGGACGUGGGUAAAAAAACUCUGUAGGCUGCAUUAAAAAGCUGAAUCUGCAGCUCAAAUUCUUGGGUAUUCUCUCCUAGGUACACUGGUAAAUAUCUUGAGCAGCCCUGCCUGCAUCAAAGAUUUGUUUGGCUGUGCUCAGCUGUGGACUGAAAGGAGACAGCACAUCGGUUCCCAGUAAAGAGUUAAUCUUCGCUCAAGAUGAGGAUGGGCUGAUAAUACAUCUUUCUCUGAGAGCUGUGGUUUCAAAAAUUCAGCAGUUUCACUCCUGUGAUUUUGCAGUUUGUCUUCUGGAAGGGAUGUGUGGAAUAGAAACAAUGAAGAAGUAAGACCAAAGAAGACAGAAGCCCAGAGGCAAAAAAGACUCCAAACCUGCCUGCAGAGGAGCUUGACAGAGAAGAGGCUGUGCAUGGACAGUGGUACUGAUGACAAAUCCCCUUUGGUCCCUUUGGCUGUUCAGCCAUUAAUCUUUGGGAAAAGUGAGUGGCAGGAGCCUUUGCUGGAAGUGGCUGUGGGGCACAGCAAGCCUUGGCCAGGAGGAGCAGAAGAUAUUUUGCCGACUGAGUCAUGGUAUUAAAUGUGCUUUUUACAGUGAAAUUCAUUGUAAGAGUGAAGCAGGUCAUUGGUAUUUAAUCUGAACCAGAGUUGUGCAACUUCAAGUGACUCUGCAGGAGAUGGGUUCCCGUGAUAGGUUCCUCAUCCAGGGCUAUGAAGCUCUUCCAGGCCAAACAUGUCCUUGUGGUUGUGCCUUUUCUUUCAUUUCUUCUUGCUUACGUAGAAAACCUGUAUGUGUAACAAUUUGAAAGGCUUUUAAAAUUUCUUAAAUAAAAUUAUUCAUUGAUAAGUAAGUGCCUCA
Molecule: long non-coding RNA, 1006 nt
Filed under: Manacus vitellinus (golden-collared manakin)
Lineage: Eukaryota; Metazoa; Chordata; Aves; Passeriformes; Pipridae
Description: lncRNA (ENSMVIG00005000368.1)
Source: RNAcentral